This is a non-coding RNA of Aegilops tauschii subsp. strangulata, 2454 nucleotides long. NCBI's taxonomy places the organism in Eukaryota, Viridiplantae, Streptophyta, Magnoliopsida, Poales, Poaceae. The record is from RefSeq and is a predicted model, not a curated record.
UUGGGCACUAUAUAAUGCUGGAUUUUUUUCAUAGCUAAUAUCUCGUAAAGGAACUUGAAAUUUUGCAAGGCAAUAGAAAAUCACUCUCUUACUGUCCUCAUCUUUUUUUAAAACUUUAAAACACCGUUUUCGCGUGGUUUUCAUCAGUGUCCAUCCAAUGUUGGUUUCUCUAUGACAUUUCCCUAAGUAAAAUCUUUUCCCUAUAAUAUAUAUAUAAUAAUAAUAAAGCACAGAUUAACUCCGUGGGUUCACCGUCACAAUACGCUUUCUUCUCAUGUCAUAAUACGCUUUUACGAUUUGUAUAGACAAAAUCGUAAUAUAAACGAGAUGGUACUAAUUUGGGAUACGCACUAAAGAUUUCAUCAAAAUUCCUUAUUAGAACGUUCUUUCGCUCACGGGCUUGGGCUACGUUCUUCCGUUAACGAUUGGGCCGUUACUUUCUAUUGGGCCUUGGAAAAAAGAAAAAUAGACGAGCAAGCAAACCUUCGACGCACGGGCGAGCAGUUGACUAAAAAAAAGAAACACACGAGCAUGACCUCUCCUCGAUGUGCACGGUACCGCCGCCGCCGCCACACGCGGCCGGUCUUCCACUCCGUCUUGCCGCCGCCCUGCUUCCCCUUCCCAUCCGCCCCCAAUCUCCGGCGCCGCCCCAGCCUCCUCUACCUCCAACCUCCUGCUGCCUCCUGCCGUCCGUCUCCAAUUUGGAUCGAAGUCGGAGUCCGUGUUCACGCAGGACAACUUGUCCAACACAAAUCCAUGGAGUGCCCGGCCCGGACUCACAGGGACUUGGAUGCCAUAAGAAGGAGCCCUCUCGACGCGAUCCAACGAGGUGCACACGACGUCGAUGGUGGAGCUCCAGGCGGUAGGCGAUGGCAUCACAUCGGUUGUAGCUGCGUGGGGAAGAGGAGGGGAGGAAGAGGUGGCGCUGCAACUUCCGCCGCCGGCGCUAUCCGUAUCCACCUUCAACUCCGUCUUGAGGAUGUGUUCCGCGACUGGCACCUCCUGCGCCUUGCACGACAGCCAUCGAACCACGCAGUCGGUGCCAUCAUCAUCAGCUUGGCUGCCUGCAGGUGAUAGGCGAACCACGACGCAGUCAGCGCCAUAACCAUCAGCUUGCGUGGUGAUAGGCGAACCACGAUACAGCCGGCGCCUGCUACUGCACCACCAACCCUGGCUGCUCGCGGUAGCCUAAGUCCACUACCGUCACGACUCACGACCCAACGUUGGCUGCCAAAGCGGCAACCUCCGUGCUCUGCUCCUCACAUUGGUUGUGACGAACGGUUCAAUGCAUGCCAUCUGCCGAAGCUUUCCUUGCCAAAUUGUCCUUCAAAGCAAUCUAAUUUUCAUAUGUGGAUUCAGAUUGUUGUUUCAUGAAGCAUAUUGGUUGUGAGGUGUUUGAAAUCUGGCAUGCCUUGCAACACAGUUUGGUCUACAUCCUGAUAUUGAAUUGCUUGCAUACAGCCAUGGGUGUUAUAACUCGUGUUGAUACAAGCCUGGGCCCGCAUGCACGUUGCAAUGAUGGAAAAGAGCAGAAAAGCAUUCCUGUCUGGUUUUCCUUCAGCUAAAUCUUCUAGCAGUUCAAAUGGGGAUGUGAUCUUAUUGCUUUUGUUGGACACUGAACUGGGAUGCGAUGCUAUCUUUCUUGCAGUUUAGAGAGAUAUGUGCUCUUGCUGCUUCUGAAUUUUUUCUCAAACUGGAGGUUCAUCAAUUCUUAUUCUAAUUUCGAUUUCAUGGUGACUACUCGUAAACAUGACAGGGAUGUAGAGAUGUCUUGCAUUUGUGUCCAACAACUGUUUUUCUUAAUGUUUGGAUGAAAAAGAACUUUUUGCAGUGUUUCAGCUUAUCAUACGGUCAAAGCCGGACAUGGUGCGUGCCGUGCCAUGGUCAUUGCUACGUUGAGCGAUGUGGCGUACUAGAAGGUCCAUUGGCAUGGUUCAUCGAGGAGAACUUACAACUGAAGGCCCUUCUCCAGUCUGGCCUCCUCCUCAGUUGAUUCUCCCAGUAAUCAUUUUUUCUUAAUUUGGAUUGAAUGAAAUGUGCCUUUGGUGUUGUCGAUUUUGCACAGAUUGCUGCAUCCGACAGGCAGCACACACCAAUCAUUUGAUAUUUGAGGGACCGCGGGCGCUUUAAGGCAGCAUAGUGCUGACAAUUUAAAGGAUGAGGUAUAAUUUAUUAACAUUGUACAAUUUUAGUAGAGGAAGAAGUACUAGCUAUGGAUGAUUACUGCGAGUAUGAGAUUGUGAGUGGUGUAGGCUUGUUAAGCUACAAGGCUGUUCUGGCUUCUGAUGGUUAAGUUGUUUAGGCAAUGACAGUACUAGAUCAGUUUAAUCCAGUAGAAAUGCAGCUAAGCAAGGCUAGCUGUAAUGUAGAUAAGCAAGGGUAGGAAUGCUUCACUCUUUGGUAUGAACAAAUGGCGUAAAUAGCAGUAAUGCAGCUUAUGGUUUGUAUUUGAUC